GACGAACGCUGGCGGCGUGCUUAACACAUGCAAGUCGAACGGAAAGGCCCUGCUCUUGUGGGGUGCUCGAGUGGCGAACGGGUGAGUAACACGUGAGUAACCUGCCCUUGACUUUGGGAUAACUUCAGGAAACUGGGGCUAAUACCGGAUAGGAGCUCCUGCUGCAUGGUGGGGGUUGGAAAGUUUCGGCGGUUCGGGAUGGACUCGCGGCUUAUCCGCUUGUUGGUGUGGUAGUGGCUUACCAAGGCUUUGACGGGUAGCCGGCCUGGGAGGGUGACCGGCCACAAUAGGACUAAGAGACGGCGCAGUAGCGUACGGGAGGCAGCGGUGGAAAGUAUUGCGCAAUGGGCGGGAGCCUGAUACGGCAGCGCCGCGUGCGGAAUGACGGCCUUCGGGUUAUGAACCGCUUUCGCCUGUGACGAGGCGUGAGUGACGGUAAUGGGUAAAGAAGCACCGGCUAACUACGUG
RNAcentral lists this ribosomal RNA (468 nucleotides) under uncultured bacterium. RNAcentral describes it as "partial 16S ribosomal RNA". It matches the Rfam family "Bacterial small subunit ribosomal RNA", at positions 28 to 507 of the family's 1533-position model. The record is from RNAcentral.